This is a long non-coding RNA of Xiphophorus hellerii (green swordtail), 127 nucleotides long. RefSeq lists it as uncharacterized. The transcript is spliced from 3 exons. The record is from RefSeq and is a predicted model, not a curated record. NCBI's taxonomy places the organism in Eukaryota, Metazoa, Chordata, Actinopteri, Cyprinodontiformes, Poeciliidae.
GACAAAACUAACUUACAAGUAACUUUUCAGCAAGAAAUAUGUCCUUGUUUUAAGUCAAUAAUUCCUUAAUAUUGGUGAAAAAGUACUAGCUCCAUUGGUAGAAUAUUUUUCAAAAAACAUGGAAAAA